This 45-nucleotide non-coding RNA is filed under the name Schistosoma mansoni. Lineage: Eukaryota; Metazoa; Platyhelminthes; Trematoda; Strigeidida; Schistosomatidae. The record is from RNAcentral.
AUUCAGCUGACGAGCCCCAAAUAGGACGGAACUUGCGUCCUGGAU